CCUGCGGAGGGAUCAUUAAAGAGUUUACCGCUCUCCUAAACCAUCGUGAACUUGCCCGAGGAACGACUGUUGCCUCGGCGGGAGGCCCCUGGGAGGGGCCGCUGCCCGCGAGGGCGCCCGCCGGGGACGACGCAGACCCUUGUCUUGCAGGCCUCUCUGAGUGAAAACACAAUAGUCAAAACUUUCAACAACGGAUCUCUUGGCUCUGGCAUCGAUGAAGAACGCAGCGAAAUGCGAUAAGUAAUGUGAAUUGCAGAAUUCAGUGAAUCAUCGAAUCUUUGAACGCACAUUGCGCCCGCCAGUAUUCUGGCGGGCAUGCCUGUUCGAGCGUCAUUUCAACCCUCAGGCCCCGCCUGGUGUUGGGGACCCCGCGGCCGCCGCGGGCCCCGAAAAUCAGUGGCGUGCCCGCCGCGAGCCCGAGCGUAGUAAUUUCUCCUCGCUCCGGGACCGCGACGGGCGCCCGCCGUGAAACCCCCCACUCAUAAGGUUGACCUCGGAUCAGGUAGGAAUACCCGCUGAACUUAAGCAUAUCA
RNAcentral lists this ribosomal RNA (533 nucleotides) under fungal endophyte sp. ICMP 15977. Its description in RNAcentral is "eukaryotic LSU rRNA". The stretch from base 180 to 333 matches the Rfam family "5.8S ribosomal RNA". Lineage: Eukaryota; Fungi. The record is from RNAcentral.